GUAUUAAAUUGGUGCAAAAGUAAUUGUGGUUUUUACCAUUACUUUUAAUAGCAAAAACUGCAAUUACUUUUGCACCAACCUAAUA
Chlorocebus sabaeus (green monkey) is the source of this 85-nucleotide microRNA precursor. The record is from Ensembl. Lineage: Eukaryota; Metazoa; Chordata; Mammalia; Primates; Cercopithecidae.